This 1486-nucleotide long non-coding RNA is filed under the name Mustela putorius furo (domestic ferret). RNAcentral's name for it is "lncRNA (ENSMPUG00000030133.1)". The record is from RNAcentral. Lineage: Eukaryota; Metazoa; Chordata; Mammalia; Carnivora; Mustelidae.
AAGAACUACUUGUUGAAAGGGCAAGCCGUUGAGUUUCCCCUGGGUAGCUAGCAAGGAUCCCAAUUUCAAAAAAACUGAAAAUACGAGAUGUGAAGAUGUUUUGAAGAAAGAACAAGAAGCCUGUGUUCUAGUCCUGGCACUACCAUUAUUAUCCAUGUGAACUCUGAUCUUCCAGUUCUUAGGGGCAAAUGUCUGGAGUUUUCCCUCUUCCAACAUCAGGUGAUCUGGCUACUUCAGGAGAAUGCUGCCCUACAAAUGCCUCAAGUCACAAAAUUUGGAAGACUUGGCUCCUUGGUAUAGAAGCAGCAUUGGCUGAGACAUGGUUCUUUGGAAACAGACAGUGGGGGCUCGUCCGGGAUAAAAUGGCGAGGACUGAGCCAGCAUCAGAAUUUUUGGGAAAAGCCUCUGGAGAGGAGAGGGAUCGCAUUACGCGAGAAACCCGUAAGGUGAUAAAAGAGAGGCUCGGCUGGGACCUCGAUCCCCGGCGAAUGGAGGACUACUGCCCAAAGGAACCCCCCAACUGGGACCCAAACUCUGAUGAAGGGCCCACGCAGGGAUCCGAACUGCCAACAGUGAAAUGGAGCCAGAGAUGGAUCCACAUCCUUACCAGCCUGGGGACUUGGUGUGGAUACGUCGCCACCAAGUGGGAAACUUGGAACCUCAUUGGAAGGGACCGUUUACUGUCAUUUUGACCACCCCCACAGCAAUAAAAGUAGAGGGCAUCAGGGCCUGGAUUCAUGCGGGUCAUGUCAAACAAGCCGAGGACAGGGACGCCCCCCAGAGAUGGGUACCAUUGCCGAUGGACUCCGCUGACCGUGGACUAAAGCUAAAAAAACUCAAACAAUGAGUUCAUUAAGUUCAUUGUUACUCCUAUUGUUACUGGUUUAUGUAAAAACUUCUGAGUCACCCCAUCAGAUGGAGAAGUAUAAAUAGGAAAUUAGACAAGUGAAAUUAACAAAAGUAGAAAAGGUUAUACAAAGCAAUGAGUGGCUGACCCAUCAGCCAACUAUGCAAUUUAAUGUGACUAUAUGUCAAUUGGCAUCUGUAACUCCCUGUGUCACGCAUGCCCCCUAUUGAUGAAGUUCUUGAACCUAGGUGAGGUUCAAUAGGGUGAGGUUUGGAGCCAAUGGCUUUAGAAAGAAUUCUUUAGACGUCUUUGGUGCAAAACAGUGGUUUAUUAGAGCACGGGGACAGGACCCGUGGGCAGACGGAGAUGCUGCAUGUGAGGAGUGGCUGGUUAUAUACACAGGAGUUGGGUAGGUGAGGACAAAGGGUUGUUCAGAAGGGCUAUUGGGAUAAAGAAGACUGUCAGGAUAUUGAAGGCCAGGUUACUAUCAAGCCAAGGCCACUUUCCCUCUAAUGAGGCACUAACAUAAAGACAAUUGGGAGUCUCCUGGUGGAAUGUUACAUUCCUGCUAUCAAACNNNNNNNNNNNNNNNNNNNNNNNNNNNNNNNNNNNNNNNNNNNNNNNNNNNNNNNNNNNNNN